This 424-nucleotide ribosomal RNA is filed under the name Listeria monocytogenes. RNAcentral describes it as "bacterial SSU rRNA". It matches the Rfam family "Bacterial small subunit ribosomal RNA", at positions 1115 to 1533 of the family's 1533-position model. The record is from RNAcentral. Lineage: Bacteria; Bacillati; Bacillota; Bacilli; Caryophanales; Listeriaceae.
UUGCCAUCAUUAAGUUGGGCACUCUAAGUUGACUGCCGGUGACAAACCGGAGGAAGGUGGGGAUGACGUCAAAUCAUCAUGCCCCUUAUGAUUUGGGCUACACACGUGCUACAAUGGACAAUACAAAGGGCAGCGAAACCGCGAGGUCAAGCAAAUCCCAUAAAGUUGUUCUCAGUUCGGAUUGUAGUCUGCAACUCGACUACAUGAAGCUGGAAUCGCUAGUAAUCGUAGAUCAGCAUGCUACGGUGAAUACGUUCCCGGGUCUUGUACACACCGCCCGUCACACCACGAGAGUUUGUAACACCCGAAGCCGGUGGAGUAACCAUUUGGAGCUAGCCGUCGAAGGUGGGACAAAUGAUUGGGGUGAAGUCGUAACAAGGUAGCCGUAUCGGAAGGUGCGGCUGGAUCACCUCCUUUCUAAGGA